UUAGGGUCGAUAGUUCGAAGCUCUAUGACACAUUUUGAAGCUUAUUUAGUCAUUUCGAAGCCUUCGUCGGAGGUAGGGUUCGACUGGGUUGUCAGUUCUCCUUUCACCGUCCUGAAGGAUCUUAAUCCUGUCAAGGGCCGGGCAGCAAAAGCGUCCUACGUGAAAGCUCACUUGUAGCUGGUGGUUGACAUCUAGUGAGGGAACCAGCUUGUGAGUAAGCCUCUCACCAACCGUUCUUGUCUCCUGUUGGUUGGAGGCAGAUGUGUUUCCUACUAGAGGAAACUCCAGUGCUGUAGAAAAGUGGACGUUACCACAGCGGCUCUGAACUGUUACACUCCGCGUUCUGGGUGCAACGAGUUCCCGGCAUCACGCCAGAUCUCCAGUUCUUAAACACGUGUAAAUAUGUCGGUACUCUGCGUGCAAGAGUGGUGAUUAACAAUUUGUAUUUUGUGGAAGUGUUAGCUGUCAGGGUUGUUUGAAUGCUUGUGUGUUGUUUGAAUGCGUGUGUGUUCGUGAGUUGUGGUUGUGAGUUAUUGGGUGUGACGGGUGGCGUGAGUAUGAAUAAAUUGUGAAUUGUG
Portunus trituberculatus (swimming crab) is the source of this 578-nucleotide long non-coding RNA. RefSeq lists it as uncharacterized. Lineage: Eukaryota; Metazoa; Arthropoda; Malacostraca; Decapoda; Portunidae. The record is from RefSeq and is a predicted model, not a curated record. The transcript is spliced from 2 exons.